GUGGGGAAUCUUGCGCAAUGGGCGAAAGCCUGACGCAGCAACGCCGCGUGCGGGAUGACGGCCUUCAAGGUUGUAAACCGCUUUCAGCAGGGACGAAAAUGACGGUACCUGCAGAAGAAGCCCCGGCUAACUACGUGCCAGCAGCCGCGGUAAUACGUAGGGGGCAAGCGUUGUCCGGAUUCAUUGGGCGUAAAGAGCUCGUAGGCGGUUCAGUAAGUCGGGUGUGAAAGCUCCGAGCUCAACUCGGAGAGGCCACCCGAUACUGCUGUGACUUGAGUACAGUAGGGGAGCGUGGAAUUCCUGGUGUAGCGGUGAAAUGCGCAGAUAUCAGGAGGAACACCAGCGGCGAAGGCGGCGCUCUGGGCUGUAACUGACGCUGAGGAGCGAAAGUGUGGGUAGCAAACAGGAUUAGAAACCCCUGUAGUCC
This 427-nucleotide ribosomal RNA is filed under the name uncultured bacterium. RNAcentral's name for it is "partial 16S ribosomal RNA". It matches the Rfam family "Bacterial small subunit ribosomal RNA", at positions 354 to 796 of the family's 1533-position model. The record is from RNAcentral.